UGGUGGAGUGAUUUGUCUGGUUAAUUCCGAUAACGAACGAGACCUCAGCCUACUAAUUAGUUAUGCGAAUCUUUACGCUUGGGAGACGGUCGGUGCGCGGGCAACUGAACGCCGGACGGAUCCUGUUCUGAUUUGUAGUUAACUUCUUAGAGGGACACUUGGUGUCUAACCAAGGGAAGUUUGAGGCAAUAACA
This 194-nucleotide ribosomal RNA is filed under the name uncultured eukaryote. Its description in RNAcentral is "partial 18S ribosomal RNA". It matches the Rfam family "Eukaryotic small subunit ribosomal RNA", at positions 1299 to 1458 of the family's 1831-position model. The record is from RNAcentral.